AAAUUGAAGAGUUUGAUCAUGGCUCAGAUUGAACGCUGGCGGCAGGCCUAACACAUGCAAGUCGAACGGUAACAGGAAACAGCUUGCUGUUUCGCUGACGAGUGGCGGACGGGUGAGUAAUGCCUGGGAAACUGCCUGAUGGAGGGGGAUAACUACUGGAAACGGUAGCUAAUACCGCAUAAUGUCGCAAGACUAAAGAGGGGGACCUUCGGGCCUCUUGCCAUCGGAUGUGCCCAGAUGGGAUUAGCUAGUAGGUGGGGUAACGGCUCACC
This 272-nucleotide ribosomal RNA is filed under the name Shigella sonnei. RNAcentral describes it as "partial 16S ribosomal RNA". It matches the Rfam family "Bacterial small subunit ribosomal RNA", at positions 1 to 269 of the family's 1533-position model. The record is from RNAcentral. Lineage: Bacteria; Pseudomonadati; Pseudomonadota; Gammaproteobacteria; Enterobacterales; Enterobacteriaceae.